This 30-nucleotide non-coding RNA is filed under the name Rattus norvegicus (Norway rat). Lineage: Eukaryota; Metazoa; Chordata; Mammalia; Rodentia; Muridae. The record is from RNAcentral.
UGGGAUUGUGGUGUCACUUAGUGGUGUGUU